AUGUGUUUCAUUUUACCAUGACUCAAUUUUUAACAAAUGGUGAAGUUUGUGAUUUUUUUAUCUAUCAUGAGGGGUUUACCGAGGAACUAUUGACUAGUGAUUUUGUUUGCGUGUCGGUCAGGAUACAUUACACAUUGGUCUAAGGUGAAGGGUUAGAUUUCAGUAAUUCCUGAGUCAUUAAGCUUAUUUUUUUUCUCGAGUUAAAUCUUUCAGUUUCCAAGGUUCGGAAGCAUUUUAUUAGUAAUUAAACAGUUGUGUUUAAAGUAAAGACUAUUGGUUGUCGGUAUCACGGUUUUUGCUAUUUUGGGAAAGGGCCCUUGAGCAGGAAUUGGGAAAAUAUCAUCAGCAUUUGGCAAAAAUUGUAUUUUAGAUGCUCCUUCAUGGAUGGUAAUACUUUGAACAUUGCGCCUUUUUUCGACUGGAAUCCAAUUUUGAAAAUAAACACAGAUAUUAAGAAAAUGUCAUUUUCCAAUUGGGAAUGGGUCCCCGUACCAGACCCUAUAAACACCAGGCAAAAACCCUGGGUAUGGUCACUUGUUUUUGAAAGGCAGCCUUCUGCCACCAAAUCAUUUUGUUGUUUUGACCUCGCCAGAAUCUUCUCUUUGGGUGAAGGGCCGUAGAGUUGUCAGUCAUUUUCAAUUUCCACCCGCUUCGCGAUUUGUUGUUUUCAGCCGAGUUUCAUUGUAAUAUUGGGGAGAUCAGUUGUUUACAUUGUAUCUCAAGUUGUUUGUUUAUACCACCAUUAUAAGUCAGUGUACAUGUUUUUAUACAAUACACAUUUACUGUGUAAUCCACAUCAGGGUCACUGACCUUGACUGUAUCAACAUCAGGGUAACUGACCUUGACUGUAUCAACAUCAGGGUCACUGACCUUGACUGUAUCGACAUCAGGGUCACUGACCUUGACUUUAUCAACAUCAGGGUCACAGACCUUGACUGUAUCAACAUCAGGGUCACUAACCUUGACUGUAUCAACGUCAGGGUCACUGACCUUGACUGUAUCAACAUCAGGGUCACUGACCUUGACUGUAUCAACAUCAGGGUCACUGACCUUGACUGUAUCGACAUCAGGGUCACUGACCUUUACCUUUGAUGCACAUUAACUGUUAAUCAUGGUAAUGGUAUGAUAUUAUAUGUAUUAAUAUACAUGUAUAUGUAUGAGGUGCGAUUAUAUUUACAAAAUAAUCUUGUUAUGUUUUGAAGUGACGGUUAUUCAUGCAUGCACUGGUUUAAACAAGUCUGUCCAGUAUUUUUUCUCUUAUGCAAACUAUUUUACUCUCGCAAUGUCAUUUGUAAGAUAUAAACAACUUAAUGAUGAGCUUUCCAAAUCAUAGUUUUUCUGUGUAUAUACUAAUUUUCUGAAUCAUUGAUGUUUUGAUUGAUAAUCUUAGUGUUCAGUUUAUAUUUUUACACAGAGGAUCAAUUUUUCAAAAACUUUAACAUCUUUUGCGUAACUGAAUUAUUUUUAUCAUUGUUGAGUGUAUUUAAUUGAGAAGAUUUUAUACAUUUGCUUUGUCCCAGAAUUUGAGAAAUGUGUUAUAUUCUCUGUUCUCCUCGUGUAUCUGGAGGCUUUGUGAAGUGAGUCGUUGAGAUCCAUAGAGUUACUGCUUUCGUUGCUGAACCAGUCAUAAGUAGUUUUACAAAUUUCUGUGUAUUUUGGACAAACUACCCAUAUCACUCAACUUGUAUAGCGCACUGGAAAUGUCACCUAUUGACACAGGAGAUGUCACCUAUGGACACAGGAAAUGUUAUUUCUUGAAGAAUAAGUUUUGCCCUUUAAUUUGAGAGUAUAUAUUAUGCAAAUAUAAAUCAGACUGAAUCAAUGAUAAUGUCUUAUAGAAGGAGGACAAAACAUGAGAGAUGUAUGAAAGUACUGAUAAAGGGUAGUACCAGCAAGCAGACUUUUAUCUUAUUGAAAUAGGAAAUUUAAAGAAUGACUUCAAAUUUGAAUUGGGACUUCUUAUAGACAAUGUAUGUCUAUUAAAAAGCAAAAUGAGUUCUGAACAAAUUUGUCCAUAUGUCAAUAAUAAUAUUUCUUACGUCACCUAAGUUAAUUUUUAUUGAUAAUAGUAAACAUAUGUCUAGUAGAUUUAUUUUAUUUCAUAUCAGUAAAUUACACAAUGUAUGGUGAAGGGAAGCGGAGCUUGCACCAGGAAAAGGACAAAGGGGUGUUUAUAUUGGACUGGGUUCUUGUUAGGUGGAUUACAGUAAGGGGACAGUUCGGAUAUAGUGUAUGGUGAAGGGAAGCGGAGCUUGCACCAGGAAAAGGACAAAGGGGUGUUUAUAUUGGACUGGGUACUUUUUAGGUGGAUUACAGUAAGGGGACAGUUCGUAUAUAGUGUAUGGGGAAGGGAAGCGGAGCUUGCACCAGGAAAAGGACAAAGGGGUGUUUAUAUUGGACUGGGUUCUUGUUAGGUGGAUUACAGUAAGGGGACAGUUCGUAUAUAGUGUAUGGUAAAGGGAAGUGAAGCUUGCACCAGGAAAAGGACAGAGGUGUUUAUAUUGGACUAGGUACUUGUUAGUUGGAUUACAGUAUAUAGGAUACAGUAUGAAUUUGUUAUGGUGUGAAGCCCCAGUAUACUGUUAAAAUUAAGCCAAAUACUACCAAAAUAUGCAUUCUUGUGUUAUCUGUUCACCAAGUCCAUGAUAUUUAAUUACUGUACCAAAAAAUAUUUCCAUAAAGAGAGAACAUUCAGAAAAACAUUAUUCUUAAAUUUUUGUUUAAGAAUAGUCAAUACAUCCCUGAUUGUAUGGGGAAAAUAGAGAGAAACAGAAAUUGGUCAAUAUUGGUAGCUUUAUAUGGCAAUUUCAAAUAUUUCAUUUUGAGAAAAUUUAAUAUUUAAUUUAACUCAUUCACCCCUGAAGACACAUGUGAACUCCUCUAAUUUAAAGGUUGGAAAAGUUCAUCAUGAAAUUUCAGGGGUGAAUGAGGUGAAGAGGUUGUCCUAAACAUAGUUGUUAUUCAGGCUUCUGAUUGUAGUCGGAAAGGAAUGUUUUAUGAAGUCUUAUCAAAUUGUUUUAUUUAUAAGAACAAAAUUUUAAGUCUAUCCUUCAUGUAAAUAAUGUUGUUUUCUGAAAUGGACACAUACAAUGAUACUUUGAAAGUCAUUCAGACAAAUUCUCUAGGAAGAAACUGAUUUAUUUGUUGUCUGUUUUUAACAACUUUGUCUGAAAUUAGUUAUUGCUCUGAAAGUUACGUUUGUUGAAGGAUCUUUUAUAGUUUAAGGUGGUUAAAUAUUUUUGUUUCAGAAUCGUUUAAGAUAUUGUCGGCCUUUACCAUGUGUAGCCUAGUCAUCUGUGUUUAUAACAUUUAAACAAUAUCUGUGAUAAAGAGGUUUAUAGAAGGCCUGUAACUGUAGACGGUCAGUGUAUAUACACAUAUAAUUUAUUAAAAUAAUCCUGUAUUAUUAGUUGUACUGACAUUUAUGGUCAAUUUUCAUAUUUAAUUGGCUUACUUUCAUGUGGAGAGUUGUUGACCGUAUUAUAGAACUUGGUCAAUAUUGAAAAUUUAAUAUAUUUGUUUUUCGAUUGAAUUUUUUUUUCAGUUGGUAAACCUGAUUGACAUAGUUAUAUGUAAAAUGCACACAAAUCAGAAACCCAUUACACAAUUGUCAUAAUCAUUGUUGUGUACAUAUCAGGCACGUGUUUAUAAAGGGACAUUUAUUUAGGUAGAAUCAAUGAAAUUUUUGUGAUCAGGAAAAAAACAUUAAUUAUAGCAAUAUUUAUAUGAUAUGAACCGGGAUAAAUUAUGUUUUUUUUUACACUUUUAAACUUUGAAACAAUACAAAGUUCAAAGGUCAGCAGUCUCUGGUAAAGUUCAAAGGUCAGCAGUCUCUGUUGUAAUUUUACUCCCAGUCGAGAGAACAAAGCGUGUUAUAUGAAGGACUGUACCCCACUUGUUAAAAUAAUUGAUGAAUCUAUUUUGAUAUAUGUACAGAUUGCUGAGAGAAAGGAUGACAUUAGUGCUAUGUAAUAAAACAUUCAUUAAUCCUCCAUGAA
Molecule: long non-coding RNA, 3998 nt
Filed under: Mizuhopecten yessoensis (Yesso scallop)
Lineage: Eukaryota; Metazoa; Mollusca; Bivalvia; Pectinida; Pectinidae
Description: uncharacterized LOC110461512
Source: RNAcentral